Molecule: ribosomal RNA, 483 nt
Filed under: uncultured bacterium
Lineage: Bacteria
Description: bacterial SSU rRNA
Rfam family: Bacterial small subunit ribosomal RNA
Source: RNAcentral
AUUGAACGCUGGCGGAAUGCUUUACACAUGCAAGUCGAACGGCAGCACGGACUUCGGUCUGGUGGCGAGUGGCGAACGGGUGAGUAACAUAUCGGAACGUAUCCAAUAAUGGGGGAUAACUAAUCGAAAGGUUGGCUAAUACCGCAUACGCCCUACGGGGGAAAGCGGGGGAUCGAAAGACCUCGCGCGAUUAGAGCGGCCGAUGCCUGAUUAGCUUGUUGGUGGGGUAAAAGCCCACCAAGGCGACAAUCAGUAGCUGGUCUGAGAGGACGACCAGCCACACUGGAACUGAGACACGGUCCAGACUCCUACGGGAGGCAGCAGUGGGGAAUUUUGGACAAUGGACGCAAGUCUGAUCCAGCCAUUCCGCGUGCAGGAUGAAGGCCCUCGGGUUGUAAACUGCUUUUGUACGGAACGAAAAGGUUCUAUUAAUACUAGAGCUCAUGACGGUACCGUAAGAAUAAAGCACCGGCUAACUACGUG